CCUACGGGUGGCAGCAGUGGGGGAUAUUGCACAAUGGGGGAAACCCUGAUGCAGCGACGCCGCGUGGGUGAAGAAGUAUUUCGGUAUGUAAAGCCCUAUCAGCAGGGAAGAAAGAAGACGGUACCUGACUAAGAAGCCCCGGCUAACUACGUGCCAGCAGCCGCGGUAAUACGUAGGGGGCGAGCGUUAUCCGGAUUCACUGGGUGUAAAGGGAGCGUAGACGGCCGUGCAAGCCAGGAGUGAAAGCCCGGGGUCCAACCCCGGGACUGCUCUUGGAACUGUGCGGCUGGAGUGCGGGAGGGGCAGGCGGAAUUCCUGGUGUAGCGGUGAAAUGCGUAGAUAUCAGGAGGAACACCGGCGGCGAAGGCGGCCUGCUGGACCGCGACUGACGUUGAGGCUCGAAAGCGUGGGGAGCGAACAGGAUUAGAUACCCCGGUAGUC
Molecule: ribosomal RNA, 441 nt
Filed under: uncultured bacterium
Lineage: Bacteria
Description: partial 16S ribosomal RNA
Rfam family: Bacterial small subunit ribosomal RNA
Source: RNAcentral